CAAUAGCGUAUAUUAAAGUUGUUGCAGUUAAAAAGCUCGUAGUUGGAUUUCUGGUGGGAGCGAUCGGUCUGGCGCUUAGCGCGAGUACUUGCAUCGUCUCCGGCCAUCCUUGGGGAGAUUCUGUCUGGCAUUAGGUUGUCGGGCAGAGGAUCCUCAUCGUUUACUGUGAAAAAAUUAGAGUGUUCAAAGCAGGCUUAUGCCGUUGAAUAUAUUAGCAUGGAAUAAUAAGAUAGGACUUUGGUACUAUUUUGUUGGUUUGCGCACCAAAGUAAUGAUUAAUAGGGACAGUUGGGGGUAUUCGUAUUCCGUUGUCAGAGGUGAAAUUCUUGGAUUUACGGAAGACGAACUACUGCGAAAGCAUUUACCAAGGAUGUUUUCAUUAA
This 383-nucleotide ribosomal RNA is filed under the name uncultured eukaryote. RNAcentral's name for it is "partial 18S ribosomal RNA". It matches the Rfam family "Eukaryotic small subunit ribosomal RNA", at positions 592 to 976 of the family's 1831-position model. The record is from RNAcentral.